UCCACCGAACCCGUCACACCGCUGCUGUUGCGAUGUCAUUACUGUCGCAAGGGAGAAGAGAUGCGUGAGGAAAGAAGCUCGCAGGGAAGAAAGAAGAGGCUGCCUGUGCCACCCGCUCUGUCGCGUCUGAUCUCUGUUAUCACCGCGUCGCUGCCACCGAAGGUCUGCCGCCAUUGUUUCCAUCGCCUCCAUGCUUCAUAUUCAUCCUGCCAAUCAUUACUGUCUUUCUUCGGUAUUGCUGUCCUUAUCCGGAACCACCGAUGUCAUUGUUGUUGCUUCCCCAGAAGAACUGAGGUUACUGCUACUGUUCCGGCCGUACUAGCUAUUGUAAAUUGGAAAAAGAAGGGGAUCGCCACAUUUAAAUUCGACGGUUUCGACUAACUGAGUGACACAGGUUUGAAGAUGCAUUUUGAAGCUGCGAGCGAUUAGUAGAUUUUCUUUAUGGUUUUAAUUACUUCCAUAGAGUCCCCUCGCUGUUGUCCCUCGAGAUUUUAUUUUACAUAGAGGGGUAGGUUUAGUAUAUCGUAUUUGAAAUUCAUUUGAUUCCUUUUGUAUAAGAAUUAUUAUUAAUAAUAUUUAUGUGAUUAUUUUUAUUUGUGAA
Molecule: non-coding RNA, 601 nt
Organism: Arachis ipaensis
Lineage: Eukaryota; Viridiplantae; Streptophyta; Magnoliopsida; Fabales; Fabaceae
Source: RefSeq, a predicted model, not a curated record